This 253-nucleotide ribosomal RNA is filed under the name uncultured bacterium. RNAcentral describes it as "partial 16S ribosomal RNA". It matches the Rfam family "Bacterial small subunit ribosomal RNA", at positions 524 to 776 of the family's 1533-position model. The record is from RNAcentral.
UACGGGGGGAGCAAGCGUUGUUCGGAUUUAUUGGGCGUAAAGGGCGCGUAGGCGGUCACGCACGUCCGUUGUGAAAUCGCUCGGCUCAACUGGGCGGGGUCGGCGGAUACGGCGUAGCUGGAGCAAGCUAGGGGGCAAUGGAAUUCCCGGUGUAGUGGUGGAAUGCGUAGAUAUCGGGAGGAACACCAGUGGCGAAGGCGACUUCCUGGCCUGUUCUUGACGCUGAGGCGCGAAAGCUAGGGGGGCAAACGGG